RNAcentral lists this ribosomal RNA (660 nucleotides) under Triticum aestivum (bread wheat). RNAcentral's name for it is "partial small subunit ribosomal RNA". Lineage: Eukaryota; Viridiplantae; Streptophyta; Magnoliopsida; Poales; Poaceae. The record is from RNAcentral.
AUGUCAUGGGCAGCCACGGGAAGCGAUGAGCUUGAGGAUCCACGGCCAGCCAUGGAUUGGUCCUGGAAAAGGGUGCCAUCGCCACCGCCAUUUGCCAUGGAUGAUAUAAUUUCCUCUUACGUGCUGCACCCGGACGGGCACACCAUAUUCAUGUCUGCACACGACAGUCUUUAUCAACAUGUUCCAAAGGGUACCUUUUCAUUUGACACCAAGCGUUCUGAGUGGAGGUGGCAUGGGGAAUGGGCUCUGCCUUUCCAAGGGCAAGGCUACUACGACAGCGAGCUAGGCGCAUGGAUUGGGCUCCGUAAAGACGGGUACAUUUGUGCCUGUGAAGUCGCCUCCCGCAGCCGCGAAAGUGCUGUGCAGCCAUAUUGUAAGAUUGCGAAGGAGAAGUUGUUCCUCAAAGUCCCGGAGCGGCGGCUGGCAGCAACAAGGGCCAAUCUCGCGUACAUGGGCAACAGCAACUUUUGCCUUGUCGAGUGUGUGCAGCGCGAGGGAGUGGAGCCUACAUGCAUCGUCGAUUGUUGCGUGCUCCAUAUGAGCACGUUUGGGCUUAAGUAUGAUCACAGGGGAGAGCUGCAAACCACGCGCCACUGCUCUACCUCUUGUGUAGUGUCUAAGCAUAUCCUGUCCUUUUCUCCUGUAGUGUUCUGGAUGUAA